RNAcentral lists this ribosomal RNA (468 nucleotides) under uncultured bacterium. RNAcentral's name for it is "partial 16S ribosomal RNA". It matches the Rfam family "Bacterial small subunit ribosomal RNA", at positions 28 to 507 of the family's 1533-position model. The record is from RNAcentral.
GACGAACGCUGGCGGCGUGCUUAACACAUGCAAGUCGAACGGAAAGGCUCCAGCUUGCUGGAGUACUCGAGUGGCGAACGGGUGAGUAACACGUGGGUGAUCUGCCCUGCACUUCGGGAUAAGCCUGGGAAACUGGGUCUAAUACCGGAUAGGACCGCACUUUGGUGUGUGUGGUGGAAAGGUUUUUCUGGUGUGGGAUGAGCUCGCGGCCUAUCAGUUUGUUGGUGGGGUAAUGGCCUACCAAGACGGCGACGGGUAGCCGGCCUGAGAGGGUGGACGGUCACAUUGGGACUGAGAUACGGCCCAGACUCCUACGGGAGGCAGCAGUGGGGAAUAUUGCACCAUGGGGGAAACCCUGAUGCAGCGACGCCGCGUGGGGGAUGAAGGCCUUCGGGUUGUAAACUACUUUCGCUAGGGACGAAGCUUUUUGUGACGGUACCUGGAGAAGAAGCACCGGCUAACUACGUG